This 802-nucleotide ribosomal RNA is filed under the name Staphylococcus caprae. RNAcentral describes it as "bacterial SSU rRNA". It matches the Rfam family "Bacterial small subunit ribosomal RNA", at positions 28 to 812 of the family's 1533-position model. Lineage: Bacteria; Bacillati; Bacillota; Bacilli; Caryophanales; Staphylococcaceae. The record is from RNAcentral.
GAUGAACGCUGGCGGCGUGCCUAAUACAUGCAAGUCGAGCGAACAGACGAGGAGCUUGCUCCUCUGACGUUAGCGGCGGACGGGUGAGUAACACGUGGAUAACCUACCUAUAAGACUGGGAUAACUUCGGGAAACCGGAGCUAAUACCGGAUAACAUGUUGAACCGCAUGGUUCAACAGUGAAAGACGGUCUUGCUGUCACUUAUAGAUGGAUCCGCGCCGCAUUAGCUAGUUGGUAAGGUAACGGCUUACCAAGGCAACGAUGCGUAGCCGACCUGAGAGGGUGAUCGGCCACACUGGAACUGAGACACGGUCCAGACUCCUACGGGAGGCAGCAGUAGGGAAUCUUCCGCAAUGGGCGAAAGCCUGACGGAGCAACGCCGCGUGAGUGAAGAAGGUCUUCGGAUCGUAAAACUCUGUUAUUAGGGAAGAACAAAUGUGUAAGUAACUAUGCACGUCUUGACGGUACCUAAUCAGAAAGCCACGGCUAACUACGUGCCAGCAGCCGCGGUAAUACGUAGGUGGCAAGCGUUAUCCGGAAUUAUUGGGCGUAAAGCGCGCGUAGGCGGUUUUUUAAGUCUGAUGUGAAAGCCCACGGCUCAACCGUGGAGGGUCAUUGGAAACUGGAAAACUUGAGUGCAGAAGAGGAAAGUGGAAUUCCAUGUGUAGCGGUGAAAUGCGCAGAGAUAUGGAGGAACACCAGUGGCGAAGGCGACUUUCUGGUCUGUAACUGACGCUGAUGUGCGAAAGCGUGGGGAUCAAACAGGAUUAGAUACCCUGGUAGUCCACGCCGUAAACGAUGA